RNAcentral lists this ribosomal RNA (429 nucleotides) under Bacillota bacterium. Its description in RNAcentral is "Firmicutes bacterium partial 16S ribosomal RNA". It matches the Rfam family "Bacterial small subunit ribosomal RNA", at positions 355 to 776 of the family's 1533-position model. The record is from RNAcentral. Lineage: Bacteria; Bacillati; Bacillota.
UAGGGAAUCUUCGGCAAUGGGGGCAACCCUGACCGAGCAACGCCGCGUGAGUGAAGAAUGUUUUCGGAUCGUAAAGCUCUGUUGUAAGUCAAGAACGGGUGUGAGAGGGGAAAGUUCACACUGUGACGGUAGCUUACCAGAAAGGGACGGCUAACUACGUGCCAGCAGCCGCGGUAAUACGUAGGUCCCGAUCGUUGUCCGGAUUUAUUGGGCGUAAAGCGAGCGCAGGCGGUUUGAUAAGUCUGAAGUUAAAGGCUGUGGCUCAACCAUAGUUCGCUUUGGAAACUGUCAAACUUGAGUGCAGAAGGGGAGAGUGGAAUUCCAUGUGUAGCGGUGAAAUGCGUAGAUAUAUGGAGGAACACCGGUGGCGAAAGCGGCUCUCUGGUCUGUAACUGACGCUGAGGCUCGAAAGCGUGGGGAGCGAACAGG